This is a long non-coding RNA of Papaver somniferum (opium poppy), 2927 nucleotides long. RefSeq lists it as uncharacterized. NCBI's taxonomy places the organism in Eukaryota, Viridiplantae, Streptophyta, Magnoliopsida, Ranunculales, Papaveraceae. The record is from RefSeq and is a predicted model, not a curated record. The transcript has 10 exons.
ACUGGUCCUCUCUCUCUCAGACCAGAUCUGCAGGGAAAAAAAAUUCAUUGAAACUCUUCCGCCAUUGAAACCAGAGCAGGGAAAUGAUUUUAUUUCUUUAUUUAAAUCGAUAAUGAUGUUAUUGAUUCGUGUAUUUUGGUAGAUUGAUAGUUAGUUUUUCGUUUUUAAGCUUGUUGAUAGUAUUUUUAUGCUAUUUCUGCAGUUGGAAGCACUAAUCUGAAAUUUUAGGUCAUAUUUCACUAGGAGUAAAUGAUUUAAUCUGAGAUUUCACAAGGAGUUUCUACAGAUGCUAUUGCUAAUCAGCAGGGUUUACAACGGAAUGACUCAGCUGGGUUUUGAAAAGAUUCACCGAGAUUUCAGGUUUAAUCUGUCUCAGUGCUCCUUUGAUCAGCUCGAUUUAACACUUUUAAUCUUAUACGCUCUUCUAUGGAACAACAAAUCAAGAACUCUUUUCAUGUUGAUAUCGGAUAAGAAUAGUGAGUUUGGUAUCAUACAUACAACCUCGUUUGAGAAAAUAUCAGUGAUACCUUGUAGGUUGAUAGAAGUGAAACAUUCCCUUAUACAGAAAUUAGAGAGAUCGGAAAAUUUAAUUCUCUUUCCAAAUGAUUGUGUAACUCACCGAGUUUUGUUAGACACCUAGUCAAGUAUUGCCAGUCUGCGUCUUUAGCUUCAGAAUUUGAGCCAAGGGACCAUUAAAAUGGAAGUACGUCAUUAGCUUUAUCAUGUGAAAAAUCAUUUGUACUUGUGAAGUGCCAAAAUCUGCAGUUUUGGGGCUGAGCAGACACACGUAUCUCUCUACGUGACUGUUAUUUCCGUUGUUUCAAAUUGGUGGGGAAACACAUUGUAAAGGUUAACCCAGACGAAGGCCUUGAGGUUAAAUUAUCAGGUUCAGAUGCAGAUGGAGCCCACCCACAAUACUGUCACCUUCCAUGUUGGUUUUGGACUGGAGAUGUAUAUGAGCUUUUAAAAAUAUGUUCAUGUUUGCAUGUGUGUGUGUUUCCUUAAUAAUAUCACUGGAAUCUCUAAGUUAUGAAUUUUGCAUGCGAGAAAUCCCAUGAUACUCCAUAUGAAGUUAACAUCGGUUAUGAGCCCGUUGACUUCAUUUUUUACAAAAAUGUGUGGUAAGUUCUUUUAUAUGUUUGUGCAUGCCUUUACUUUCUGUAGUAUUCAAAUCUCUAAAUGAAGAUUUAUUAAAAAUAAUAAAAAAAAUUCAUUUGAUUUUGACAACUCUCAAGUAAGGAUAAGUUAGUUCAAAAGAAACUCAAAUGUACAUGCUAAAUGUCACGACGGGCUUAGCAAUUGUGUUUCAGUCAUGGACUCAUGCUCAAUACGCUCAGCUUCACGAGCAUCAUUUUUACGUGUAUUGCUUCCUAUGGAAAGUCGAAUCUAUGAUUUGAUUUUGUAGAAUGCAGUCUAACGCUAUUUGCACUGCACAUGGUCUAUCAACUAACUUGAGAAGAUCAUACGGUCUUUACUUGCUCUCUCUCUAUGUGUUUCAUGGGAGAAUAUGACUCAGAACCACCUGGAAGGCUUCUGUAUAAUGUACAGUAUGUAUGUGUGGUACAUCUGUUGCAAUAACAAAAUAACAUGAUAAAUUCUGUAUAAAGGAUAGUCAGUAUAUGCUCAUUGGGAAUUUGUCCACAUCUUGGAGUAACAUUUGUAUUUCUUAUUUUGAAUUGUGCAGAUUCAUAGUAACAUCAACAGUAUUCUAUUGUGGAGUGUUCAUCUAUAGAACACGUGUUGAACACCUGCGUGGGUUGGAAGCUUUACCAGGCACGACAAUUCUAUCAGCCUAUUUAGAAGCGGUUAGUUGAGGAGGAGGGUUAACAAGAGGUUACACAAGAGCAGAAGACCCUACCAACACGUCUGCCAAUCAAGUUCAUUGGAAACGCCAGCCUGUUUCUGGUCAAGGAACUCGAAGAACCACUGAAGUGAAAUAUGGUUUGAUCUGAUUAACAAGUUUGACAUGUAUCUGAUGUAUGAGCAUCAUUAGAGAUUUCAGUAUGACUUGAAUUGUAUUUAAAUAUGUCAGGUUGGAGUUGGUGGUGGGAGGUUGGGACUUAAGAUCUGUAAGAGUGGGCAUGUACAGACGAUCUUUUUUGGAGAAGAAGGGACUCUCACGCGAGGAGAUAGAUGAAGCUUUCCGUAGAGUGCUUGAUCCCACCCCCACCAACUACAACUAUGCCGGCAGCUAUCCCAAAUCAAGAUGGUCAAUCAACUUCACCUAUCAAUUUGCAGCCUCAGAUACAAGCACGAGCUCCACAGCCUGCAGUUCCUCCCCCUAGUGGCUUGGUUUUCAAAAUGCGAGCCUGAUUGCACUGGUUUCGUGCUAUUCUUGCCAUAGGCUUUCUUGCUGUUUCAGGAGCUGGUACUGCACUUGUUUUUAAGAAUGUUGGUGUCCCUAGAUUGAAGUCGUGGAUCCAUAAGGUGGUAUUGGAAGAAGACGGUGAUAACUCACUAGAGAAAAGUACCUUAAAGACAAACCCAACUGAAGAGGCAGCAACAGCCGCAAAAGCUGCUGCAGCUGCAGCUUUGGAUGUAGCUAAGGCGAGUCAGGACAACUUCGGAAGUAGCUAAGGCUAGUUAGGAAAUGUUGAACUCAAAACUUGAAGGUUGGUUUAUCUAAUGAAUUACUUGAGGCUUCAGUAUUGCCUAUAUGUAUAUUUUCUUGACCUUUGCAUGUAUAUCUCAGAAAGAAAGUACCAAUAGUUCAGCAAUUGGUGGCAAUGACAUCCUAUACGCAGAAAAUUGUAUCUUAUACGUUCACUAUGCUUCUGAAACUAAGUUAGAGUCUUUGUGAAAUCUAGAGAAAACUAAGUUAAAGGCUUUCUGAAACUAAAUGAUAAGUUGUUUCCUUCUCUUUCUUUCGUGUAUCAUUGAACAUAUCAUUAUCAAUACAAGUGGUGCAGAAUGUGAUUGGUUUGAUA